CUGCCCUUUGUUGUCUGAUAACCAGUGUCUUAUGUAUCAUUGUUUCAGAUUUUUUUUUUACAGCAGCAAGAGAGAAAUAAAAGAACAAUAGAUCUACAAAACAAUCAGAAAAUAACUAACAAAUUGGCAAUAAAGCAAGAGAGAAAUAAAAGAAUAAUAGAUCUACAAAACAAAGAAAAGACUCACAUAAAUAAAGAAGACAUUGCAACUGAUACCACAGAAGGAAUCAUGAACCUAUUAGGAACAAUUACAUGCCAACAAAUUAGAUAACCUAGAAAAAAUGGAUAAAUUUCUAGACAAAUUCAAUUGACCAAGACUAAACUAUGAAGAAGUAGAAAAUCUGCACAGACUAAUAAUGAGUAAGAAUAUUGAAUAAAUGAUAUAAUGUCUCCCAUUAAAGAAAAGCCCAGAAAAUGAUGGCUUCCCUGUUAAAUUCUACCAAAUAUUUAAAGAAUUAGCACCAAAUAUUCUCAUUUUUUCCCAAAAAUUGAAGAGGAGAGAAUACUUUCAAAUUUAUUUUUCGCAGCCAAUAUUACCCUAUUAUCAAAGCCAGACAAGAACACCACAGGAAAAGAAAGUGCAGGCAAUAUCCUUGAGGAACAUAGAUGCAAAAAUUCUCAAUAAAAUACUAGUAAACAAAAUUCAAGAGCACAUUAAAAAGACAAUUCAUGAUAAUCAAGUGGGACUUAUCCCUGGGAUGCAAGGAUUGUUUGGCUUAUGCAAAGCUAUAAAUGUGAUACCACAUUAACAAAUAAAGGGCAAAAAAAAAUCAUCUCAAUAAAUGCAGAAAAAAAAGCACAAUUCAACAUCCUUUUAUGCUUAAAAGCUCUCAACAAAUUAGCUAUAGAAGAAAUGUACUUCAAUGCAAUAAAAGCCAUAUAUGAAAAGCCCACAGCUAACAUGAUACUCAAUGGUGAAAAGUUGAAAACGUUUCUUCCAAGAUCAGGAACAAGACAAGGAUGCCCACUCUUGCCAUUUCUAUUCAACAUAGUACUGGGAGUGGUAGCCAGAGCAAUUAGACAAGAGAAAUAAAUGAAACAUAUCCAAAUUAGAAAGGAGGAAGUUAAAUUGUCCCUGUUUGCAAGUGAAAUAACCUGAUAUAUGGAAAAUCCUAAAGACUCCACCAAAAAGCUGUUCAAACUAAUAAAAGAAUUCAGUAAAGUGGCAGGAUGCAAAAUUAACAUGAAAAAUCUGUAGCACUUCUAUACACUAGCAAUAAACUAUCUAAAAAGUAAAAUCAUGAAAACAAUCCCAUUUAUAGUAGCUACACAUGCAUGCACAUGAAAGCACACACACACACAAACAAGGAACAAGACAAGGGUGCCCAUUCUUGCCAUUUCUAUUCAACAUAGUACUGGAAAUAGUAGCCAGAGCAAUUAGACAAGAGAAAUGAAUGAAACGUAUCCAAAUUAGAAAGGAAAAAGUUAAAUUGUCCCUGUUUGCAGGUGAAAUAACCUGAAAUAUAGAAAAUCCUAAAGACUCCACCAAAAAGCUGUUUGAACUAAUAAUAGAAUUCAGUAAAGUGGCAGGAUGCAAAAUUAACAUGAAAAAUCAGUAGCACUUCUAUACACUAGCAAUAAACUAUCUAAAAAGUAAAUCAUGAAAACAAUCCCAUUUAUAGUAGCUACACAUGCAUGCACAUGCAAGCGCACACACACACAAACACCUGGGUACAAAUUUAGCCAAAGAGGUGAAAAACAUAUAAACUGAAAACUAUAAGACAUUGAAAGAAAUUGAAGAAGAUAAAUAAAUGCAAAGAUAUACCAUGUUCAUGGAUUAGAAAAAUUAUUAUUGUUAAAAUGUGUAUACUACUGAAAGCAAUCUACAGAAUCAAUGCAAUCUCUAUCAAAAUUACAAUGACAUUUUUCACAUAAAUAGAAAAAACAAUUAUAAAAUUUUUAUGGAACCACAAAAGGCCUUGAACAAUAAAAAAAUCUUGAGCAAAAAGAAUAAAGAUUGAGGCAUCACACUAUCUCACUUCAAAAUAUCCUACAAAGCUGUAGUAAUCAAAAGAUCAUAGUAUUAGCAUUAAAAACAGACACAUAGACCAGUGCAACAGAAUAGAGAGCCCAGAAGCAAACCCACGCAUUUACAGUCAAUUGACUUUUCAACAAAGGAGCCAAGAACAUACAAUAGGGAAAGGACAAUCUCUUCAAUAAAUGAUGUUGAGACAAUUGGAUAUCCACAUGCAGAAGAAUGAAAUUAGACCAUCACCUCACACCAUAUACAAAAAUCAUGUAAAAAUGGUUUAAAGACUUAAAGACCUGAAACUGUACAACUACUAGCUAAAAGCAUAUGGACAAAACUCUACAACAUUGGUGUGAGCAAUAAUUUUUUGGAUAUGACCUCAAAACUGUAGGCAAAAAUAGACAAAUGGGAUUACAGGAAGUUAAAAAGUUUCUGCAUGGCAAAGGCAACAGGCAACAGAGAAAAAGAUAACCUAUGAAAUGGAAGAAAAUAUAUGCAAACCGUACAUCUGAUAAGGAGUUAAUAUCCAAAAUAUAUAAAAAACUGAAAUAAUAUAAGGAAGACAAAUGGCCUCAUUUAAGAAUAGGCAAAGGACCUGAAGACAUUUUUCAAAAGAGGACAUACAAAUGGCUAACAUGAAUAUGAAUAAAUGCUCAACAUCACUAAUCAUCAAGAAAAUGCAAACUAAAACUACAAUGAGAUAUCACCUCUCACUUGUUAGAAUGGCUAUUAUCAAAUAGACAAAAUAUAACUAGUACUGUUGAGAAUGUGGAGAAUAGGUGACUCUCUCACAGUGUUGGUGAGACUAUGUACACCAGACCAUGUAACUGAAAUUACUUCAGCCACAAUGGAAAGCAAUAUGAAGGUUCCUUUAAAAAUUAAAAUUAGAAUAACCAUAUGAUCCAGCAAUCCCUCCACUGGGUAUGUAUGAAAUUAAAUCACGAAUCAAAAAGGAAACUAAAUCGGUGUGUAUAGCUACACUGUCAUGUUCUUUGCAGCAUUAUUCACAAUAGCCAAGGUAAAGAAUCAAACUAAAAAUGUCCAUCAAGAGAUGAAUGAAUAAAGAAAAUAUAGUAUAUAUACAGAAUAAAAUACUGUUCAACCUUAAAAAUCAAGGAAAUCCUGUUUUGACAAGAUGUAUGAAUCUAGAAGACAUUAUGUUAAGUGAAAUAAGCCAGAUACAGAAGGACAAAUACCACAUGAUCUCAUUUACAGGUGGAAUCUUAAAAAGUUAAACUCAUAGAAGCAGAAAGUAGAAUGGUGGUUACCAGGGACUGAGUUUUGGGGUGGUUGGAAAGAUGCUGGUCAAAGAAUAUAAAAUUUCAGAUAGACGGGAGGAAUAAGUUCAAGAGCUCUUUUAUGCAACAUGGUGACUAUAGUUAAUAACAAUGUACUGUAUUCUUGGAAAAUUAGUAAAAGAACAGAUUUUAAGUGUUCUUACCAUAAAAAAUGAUAUAUAAGUUAAUGUUUAGGUUGCUCUGUCUAUGGAGUAGCCAUUCUUUUGUUUCUUCACUUCUCUAAUAAACUUGCUUUCACUUAAAAAAAAAGUUAAUGCUUACGUUAAUUAGAUCAAAGUAACCAUUCUGCAAUGUAUGCAUAUUUCAAAGCAUCAUGUUGUAAAUGACAAAUAUAUAUACUUUGUAUUUGUCAAUUUAAAAAAAUAAUUAAUUAAUUUUAAAAAAGAGAAACUGGCAGGACAUCCAGAAUCCUUCCUUUGUUUGUGUACUAGACCAAAUUCCCAGAAGAACUGUAGAGAUUUAAUAAAGGAUAUCUGAAUAAAGUUGGAGAUGGAACUACUGUACUAAACAUAGGGAUGUUAAGAAAACUAGAAGUAUUUGGGAGUACUGAGGAUAAUUGGGAUUUUUGUACUCUUAACUAACCUCACUGUUGCUUUCUCUCAUCUGUGCCAAAGCAUUAGCCAGCCUUUACAUCAUUUUUAUGUGUAAAAAUUAUGUACUGCUGAAAUAAUAGUGCAUAUUUAUUAAGUUUUUAUUAUUACAUGACUUUUUAUAUUAAAGGUGAUAACUACUUCAUUAUUUUAAAAUCUGCUUACCUAUUUAUCACUGAUUCUUUUUUGAAAAUGUUCUCACAGAUAUGUCAAACAUUAGGCAACACUAUUCCAAAGGCUCAAUUACUUCAAAUCAUCUAUCAAUCCCCUGGUGUUCCAUUUUUGUUUUGUUUGCUUGUUCUAAUUGAAGAUCUGACUCUGACAGAUCUUUAUUUCUUGCUUCAAUCUAGACUAUUAGGUUUUUAGGGUUAAGUCACAGUAGUCAUGCUGGAAUGUCCCUUUUUUCCUCUCUUGUAUAGAAGACAAAGUUUCUCAAAUCCCCUGUCUCCCUUGUUCCUGAUUUACUACUUCAUUUUUCAUGAAUUAUAUAUCGUGGUAGCUUCCAAGGAAAGAGUAAUAGGAAGCAUGUUUUUGUGAAUUAUUGCAGAUCUGAAAAUGUCUUUAUUCAAUCCUCACAUUUCAGUGAUACUAUACCUUGCUUGGGUAUAAAAUUAUAGGCUGAAAAUAAUUUUCAAUCAGAAUUUUUAAUACUAUUGUUAUAUAUCUUUCGGUUUUUCGUGUUACUAGUCUAAUAUUUAUGUUGUGAGUUUUAAAAAAUCUGCCCUUUAAACCCCGGUCUCCUGAAACUUCAUGAUAAUAUGCCUUUGAAUAUUAUAUUAUUUCAUUAAUUUUUUCUGGGAAUUCAAUGGGAUCUUUUAAGUUAAAGACAUAAGCCCUUACACUUUGGAGAUAUUUUUGAUCAUAUCUUGAUCAUUUUCUUUCCUCUUUUUAUACUCUCUUUCUCUCUCUAAAAUUUGUACUUGUUGGAUGUCGAACCACCUACAUUAAUCUAUAUUUAUAAUUUCUUUGUUCUUAUUUUCCACAUAGUUUAUAGAUUUUCCUGACUUCUAAUGAUUUAUUUUUUACUGUAAUUUACUCUAUUUUGCAGUGCCCUUUUUUCUCUGAUUGCUUUUUAAAAAUAGUUCCCUCUUCUUGUUUUAUAUAUGUAUUAUUUGACCUGUUCAUAUGUUUUAAUUGGGUCCCAUUUUCAUAAAUAUUUUAGUCACUCUUUGUCAUGAGAAAGAAUUUUGUAUCACAUACAUUACCUCUUCAGGAAACAUCUGUAUAUACUAUCAAAUUACAAAACACUUACUAGAAGCUCUGGGUGGUGGGGGAGAUGCUUGAGGUGUAGGACAAGGUCCAACUAGUUGACUUUACUUAGAGUGAACUCCUAUACAUCUCAAGCAACUCCUAAAUCUCUAGAGGUCUAUAUCUGGGGCCUUUCAAAAACAAUUUUUACACAGAUUAUCCUCCAAUUUUCUUCAGGAAAAAUUAAACAUGGCAAUAAGUAUUCUCAAAACAGAGCAGAGGAAAGGGCUGUGGGUAGUAUAGGGGAUGUGUGUAGAACAAUUUAAUCACCUUGUUCUACCCUAAACCAAUUUCUUGGUGUUCACUGCUUCCUGAAUCAACUUCUCCAGAGACUAGACUUCUCUUUUCUCUUAGUGUGUAUUUGUGGAGGGGUAAAGAGAUUCUCAAACAGUCUCUGAGUGUUCAGUCUUAAACUGACUUCUGCUUUCCAGGUAACCUGUUUCCCCACAAUCAGAGACUCUCAGGGGAUUUGUGAGAUACUAAAUGAACAUGAUGCAAAAUGAACAACACAUAAGUUUCUGAGAGAAAAGUCCUCAUGCUGAGAAAGUUAAGAAAUCCUUAGUAACACGGGGUUCUGAGUGAAGAAUUACUAAAGGAGAUUCUAGAAAUCCUUGGUAGAAUCUGAACUGUCAAAGGACUAAAUUGAACAAUUACUGCUCUCCCACUAUUGCAAAGCCAUUUCCUAUAGUUGCUGCCACAAGCUAGAACUUCAUCCUGGGCAUGAUUCAACCCCUAAUUUGCAAAUUUAUAACAGCUCUUGGCUACUAAGCAUGGUUUUCUUCUAUAGACCAUACUUCAAUAAAAUACUGUUACAAAUAACAGAUGGACAAUGCAUUCAUUUGUAGAUGGUUCCUUGUAAUAAUAAUUUAUUAACUUUUUUCUUUCUUAGGGCAGAAGUAGCAAACAUUAAACUAAAUUGCCUAUAGCAUAAAUGGAAGGAACUUUUUAAGCAGGUGGGAAUUUAUUUAGACUUCUUCAUUUAAUGUGGC
Molecule: long non-coding RNA, 6093 nt
Filed under: Homo sapiens (human)
Lineage: Eukaryota; Metazoa; Chordata; Mammalia; Primates; Hominidae
Description: HSALNT0062399
Source: RNAcentral